CCAUGUUGGUCAGGCUAGUUUCAAACUCCUGACCUCAGGUGAUCUAUCCGCCUUGGCCUUCCAAAGUGCUGAAAUUAUAGGUGUGAGCCAUUGCACUCGGCUGGGCCCAGAAUCUUAAAAAUGGCUCUGCCAGAGAAUUGUAGUUAUUACAGGAAAAUUCUUCUGUAGUCUGAUGCUUUGUUCAGCUUUGUUCAAUUCAGUAUGGCUCAUUAUACUUACUUUUCCCUUCUUGGCCAAGUUCUCCCCUUAUGGAUAUGGAGAUGACAUGCUCUAAAUGCUUUGAGAACAAGCACUUGUUAAAGAAGACUUUUGAUGUUUCCUUACCUUGUUAGUAGUUUAAACACUGUCAGAUCCUUAGAAAAUGACUGGCUUAGGACCAUAUCCUAUAGACUUAAGAGGGUUCUCAUUGACUGUUUGUUCAGUGUCCAUACUGAAUCAGUCACUUACCAAAUAUAGUUGGCACUCUGUAUUCACAGGUUCCACACCCACAGAUUCAACCAAACACUGAUUGAACAUAUUCAGGAAAAAAUACAUUAACAUUGAGCCCAAAUUGAGACUGCAGUGAGCUAUGAUCACUCUGCCGCAGUCUAGCCUGAGUGACAGAGACCCCAUCUCAAAAAACAAAUUAACAACUGUUUAUAUAGCCUUUAUUAGGUAUUAGGUAUUAUAAGUAAUCUAGAGAUGGUUUAAAGUAUUUUGGAGGAUGUGUGUAGGUUGUGUGCAAAUACUAUGUGAUUUUAUAUAAGGGACUUGAGCAUCCUAGGAUUUUUGUGUCCUUGUGGGUCCUGGCACCAAUUCCCUGUGUACACCAAGGGACAACUGUACUAAUCAAGUGUCAGAAACUGCUACAUGCCCAUUUUGGAGAGAAGGAUAAAGCUUCUAAUCUGUGUGCUUAUGGUGGAUCCUAUUCUGACAGUCUGUCCAAUUUUGAGAACACUCAU
Molecule: long non-coding RNA, 941 nt
Organism: Sapajus apella (tufted capuchin)
Lineage: Eukaryota; Metazoa; Chordata; Mammalia; Primates; Cebidae
Exons: 2
Source: RefSeq, a predicted model, not a curated record